Molecule: ribosomal RNA, 468 nt
Filed under: uncultured bacterium
Lineage: Bacteria
Description: partial 16S ribosomal RNA
Rfam family: Bacterial small subunit ribosomal RNA
Source: RNAcentral
GACGAACGCUGGCGGCGUGCUUAACACAUGCAAGUCGAACGGAAAGGCCCUGCUUUUGCGGGGCGCUCGAGUGGCGAACGGGUGAGUAACACGCGAGUAACCUGCCCUUGACUUUGGGAUAACUUCAGGAAACUGGGGCUAAUACCGGAUAGGAGCUCCUGCUGCAUGGUGGGGGUUGGAAAGUUUCGGCGGUUGGGGAUGGACUCGCGGCUUAUCAGCUUGUUGGUGAGGUAGUGGCUUACCAAGGCUUUGACGGGUAGCCGGCCUGAGAGGGUGACCGGCCACAUUGGGACUAAGAUAGGGACCAGACUCCUACGGGAGGCAGCAGUGGGGAAUAUUGCACAGUGGGCGGAAGCCUGAUGCAGCAACGCCGCGUGCGGGAUGACGGCCUUCGAGUUGUGAACCGCUUUCGCCUGUGACGAAGCGUGCGUGACGGUAAUGGGUAAAGAAGCACCGGCUAACUACGUG